Long non-coding RNA from Lytechinus pictus (painted urchin), 1776 nucleotides. RefSeq lists it as uncharacterized. NCBI's taxonomy places the organism in Eukaryota, Metazoa, Echinodermata, Echinoidea, Temnopleuroida, Toxopneustidae. The transcript is spliced from 4 exons. The record is from RefSeq and is a predicted model, not a curated record.
ACAAAUGAGAUUAGGCUCCGCCUACCGCGAUCAUUUGAAGACAAAAAUAAGCCCUCAUUGACAUUCAUGAGCAUGAAGAUAUUCAUAAUCCGGCCUUUUCAUUGGCUAAGAGCGUCAUUAAUACGCGAUUUCCCCGAUUCUUUGUCAUCGAUACUAGUGGUAUCGUGUUACAGAAAUAAUUAUUCAUUUGACCUCAUUACGUCAUCUAAUUUAUUCAUUCUGAAACUUUUCUUUCCACACACAAAAUGGACCUACGAACACUCCGGUUGAGUUUGAAGAACAAGAAAAAACAGUAGAGGUCUACCUAUAUGGUUCAAGAUGAUGAUCAUAUAAGUGCAUGCAUCAUUUUGCAGAUUCUCAUCCAGGAUGAUGCAGUUUUACAAUUUCCAUGGAGGUGAUUGAUGAUAAUAAAUAAUCGGUGAAGUAGGCCUAAUAGAACAGCGACGAGACCACAAAGAAAAAUACAACCUACAGCAGUUAUAUGAGACUGGUGUAACAGAUGUUUUCAUUCAAGAAAUCCAACAAUUCAACAUUGAAGAGUCUGACUUAGGAACCACUUGAUGAAGAUGGAAAAGGUUUUUUUUUUCCAAGUCCAAUUUUUCACACACAAAAAAAUUAUUAUCACAACCCCAAAUUCAUGACGUAUGAAAUUUCUUGUUGAUUUUCAUUUAAACUGGUUGCAAAAGGAGAAGCUAUAAACAUACAAAUAGGAGCGGCGGAGUGAAGUUGAAAAUGGGGGGGGGGGGCAUAGGGAAAAUGCUGUAUUACAUGAAAUUUUUAAGAAGUUGCGAGCGAGCAAAAUUUUGACUUUUUUUUUUUUUUUUUUUUGGGGGGGGGGGCAAGAGUCAUUCAAGCCCCCCUCCAUCUGUACGAAACUGCUUAUAUACCCCACCCAUGAAUUAUUAAACUUAGUGCACAAAGGAUUUCCUUCAUAAGUAUAUUAUCGAAAUGAGAAUAUUGUUUUCUUGUUUCAAAGGGCAAUCGUCAUGGUGACCAUAAAACGGGUCCUUCUCAGGUGAAAGGGGCACAGAACAAGUUCUUUAGGAGCACUUUUCUUGGGUAAAAAGGGGGCAGUGAUUCGAGAAAGGGCACUUACAAGAAGGCAAGGGUUAACACAUGAAACGGGCCCUCAGAUGAAAGGGCACAGAACACGUUCCGGGGGGGGGGGCAUUUUUCGGUUAAAAAAAUUGCAUACAAGGAAGAGCACUUGGUAACACCUAAAACAGGUUCUCGUCAGGUGAAAGGGACACAGUACACGUUCGUGAGGGGGCAUUUUUCUUGCAUAAAAAGGCACUUUUCAGUGCUUCAAGAAGUAGGGGGAACUGUGCCCCCCCCCCCCCUCCUCCCCAGGAUCGCUGCCCCAGCAUACAAAAAAAAUCUUUUGGUUCAAAGUAUUAACAUACGCUUAAGAAAAAGGUAAAGCUUAAUCCUCUGAUAAUGUAAUAUUUUUUUAUGGCUAAUUAAUAAAAUUCACCACUAACCAGAGAAUUCCUUUAUGUCUUUCAUUUUUGUUCAUAUAGUAUUUGUACAGAGCUAAAAUGAAAGGGACUUGGAAUUGGCAAAAUUGAAAAUGAGAUGAAGAUCGAGAGAGGGAAAGAGUGAUGAGAAGUGGGUUGAAAAGAGAUGAGAAAGAAAUGGAGGGGCACAUAUGAAGAGAUAAUUUAGAGGGGGUGGUAAGAGAGCUAGAAAGUGGGAAGUAGGAACAAAAGGGGUGGAAGAGAAAUAAGACAAGAUUUAUGGUAACCAGGAGACAGAUAACAAGUGGGAAAAGAAGAA